CAAUGCAUAGGCCAUGCAUGUGACUACUGGCAGGAUCAACCAGGUAGCAUUCCU
This 54-nucleotide unclassified non-coding RNA is filed under the name Acacia longispinea. RNAcentral describes it as "partial small subunit rRNA". The record is from RNAcentral. Lineage: Eukaryota; Viridiplantae; Streptophyta; Magnoliopsida; Fabales; Fabaceae.